RNAcentral lists this ribosomal RNA (462 nucleotides) under uncultured bacterium. RNAcentral describes it as "partial 16S ribosomal RNA". It matches the Rfam family "Bacterial small subunit ribosomal RNA", at positions 28 to 507 of the family's 1533-position model. The record is from RNAcentral.
GACGAACGCUGGCGGCGUGCUUAACACAUGCAAGUCGAACGGAAAGGCCCUUCGGGGUACUCGAGUGGCGAACGGGUGAGUAACACGUUGGUGAUCUGCCCUGCACUUUGGGAUAAGCCUGGGAAACUGGGUCUAAUACCGAAUAGGACCACGCGCUUCAUGGUGUGUGGUGGAAAGCUUUUGCGGUGUGGGAUGGGCCCGCGGCCUAUCAGCUUGUUGGUGGGGUAAUGGCCUACCAAGGCGACGACGGGUAGCCGGCCUGAGAGGGUGACCGGCCACACUGGGACUGAGAUACGGCGCAGACUCCUACGGGAGGCAGCAGUGGGGAAUAUUGCACAAUGGGCGCAAGCCUGAUGCAGAGACGCCGCGUGAGGGAUGACGGCCUUCGGGUUGUAAACCUCUUUCAAUAGGGACGAAGCGAAAGUGACGGUACCUAUAGAAGAAGCACCGGCCAACUACGUG